AUAUAACAAAUAAUUUGAGCUAUGAAGACUGCUUUAACGAUACUAAUAGUGGUGAUCAUAAAUCUACAGAUCCUAACCAUAGGAGUUUACGGACAAGAGGAAAGUUCACCAGAGGAGGAGAAGGACCAAUGUAAGAAAGGAUACGUUGCGAAGGGUGCUGAUUGUGUGUGCGACGACGGAUACCAUCUGAGCUUGGGAACAUGUGUCAAGACAAUAGCCUUCUUCAUAUUCGUUUCGGUGUGUGUGAUAGUUGUGGCACUGCUGGUGAUCUCUGGUCUUAUAAUGCAUCACGAGAGGAAGAGAGGUGGAAUUGAGAAUCUUAUGCCACCAAAUUGACCGGUUAAAACGGAGAAUCGCUGUCUAGUGUGAGGAAAUAUGAGCUGAAGGUGGAUGGUGAGAUUAACAGUUAAGGUUUACUACAAGUGAUGAAAGAUAUGGAUAGUAUUGUAGGAGACAUUUGUCGUGGUAUGCUGGAAUCAGUGAUGUUAGUGAUAUCUUCUAAUUUGGAUAGUGAUAAGUGAGUAAGGAAAUGCUCUGUCCGUGGCUGAAAACUAGUGUUUGUGAUCUUGAAGCUGAAUCUUGUACAAUUCCUCUUAAGAAGGGUGCAUGUGUUGAUGAGAUGACAACUCAAAAACUAUCUGAUUAAAAACACUCAAUAAUCUGCAGGGAAAGAUAAGAUAAGAGAAACAAAUGUUGCAUAAUGUUGAAGUCAUUAAGGAGCACUAUCAAAACUCAAAUACCUCAAAUACCUCACAUACGUAUACCUCAAAU
Long non-coding RNA from Bolinopsis microptera, 771 nucleotides. RefSeq lists it as uncharacterized. Lineage: Eukaryota; Metazoa; Ctenophora; Tentaculata; Lobata; Bolinopsidae. The record is from RefSeq and is a predicted model, not a curated record. The transcript has 3 exons.